GAAACAGCAGAGCAAAGGGACAAAAGACACGAGGUGGAGGCCAAAAACAACACUCAGUGGGCUGGUUAAUUUCUGCAUGAAGUCCCUGAGGAGAAGUAUGGGGUAAAAUGGUGAUGCCAACCCUGGUCUGCAUUGUUGCAGGGGCCCAGUCUGGCUCUAAUCAGGGAGACGCAGGGCCGACUGCACUCAAUUAUUCACUCAUUAGUCAGCAAAUGGGAGAGGCCACUGAAAGCUGUGUUCCCUGCAUGCUGUGCUGUUCACAGAGCACAUCUCUCUCUUUGUCUUUUCAUCGCUCUGUCACUUUUUAGACAUGCACUGCAUCUGUCAUUACAUUUUCUGGCUUUUUUUUUUUUUUACAAACCAUUGUUUUCUGAGUUCAACAUUGCAAUCUCUCACAAAUCUCUGUGAUUUCUAA
Long non-coding RNA from Amphiprion ocellaris (clown anemonefish), 415 nucleotides. RefSeq lists it as uncharacterized. The record is from RefSeq and is a predicted model, not a curated record. The transcript has 3 exons. Lineage: Eukaryota; Metazoa; Chordata; Actinopteri; Pomacentridae.